AUUCUCGAUUCUCGAGUCUUGAGUCCCAGGGAGGGGGUGGCCAAAAGGGAAACCAGACGUGUCCUCGUUCCAGGACUACGACUUCGGCUGGAUUCGAUGCGAUUCGGCUGCUCUUUCGGUUCGGUUUCGGCUUUCGACGCACUGCACUCGCUGCGACAAGAGUUUUGAAGUUCCCGCUGGCCGAGUUUCGAAUCAGUUGCCGCCGACUUGUUGGGUCAUUUGCAUAUAAAUCGAUCAGUGCGCCAGUUAUCGGGCCAUCGGAACAAAAGCAAAACAUUUCAAUUAACUAACGAUCAAUUAGUAGAACUGGAUAAGAAAAAGCCGCUAUAAAACCGAGUGACUUCUCGAAAUAAAUAAUUAAUUAUCUGACUUUCCUGUCCGCAAUGUCAAGGACGUUGUCGCAUUGUCGUUGCCAUCCGCUUGGCUGAAGCUAAUUUCAUUGAGAAGGAAAGCGAGGGGAUCCUGCCAGAAGGCUGGCGCCCGACGGUGGGAAUUUCAUCAGCUGUUGUUGUUGUUCAUUUCACAGCAGCAGUCGGCCUAAUAAAAAUGCAAUUUUUAUGGUUAAGAAAAUAGUGCGCGAACGCCGUUGUGUUGCACAUUGGAAAUUGUGCAGAAGCCAGAAGAAAAUGUGUCUUGGAAAAUGGAAAAGCACGAGCAGCAGUAGCACCAGCAGCAGCUAUAACAUUGAGCCAGUGAUGUAAUACAGAGCAAAAGUGAAGCGGCGGCAAUUGGCAUUGCAAAAAAGAAACAGAUUAUACAAUUUGUGUUGCUGCCGCACUGAACUAGGACAACAGCAGCAACAACAGCAGCAGCAACAACAACCACUAGUGAUAAAGACCGGCUGGCAACAGUGCAGCGGCCACUUGCAGCAACAUAAUUUCAAAGUCGGAGCGUGGGAAUCGCAAAUCACGGCAGUGGCAGCAACAACAGCAACUGCAGCAACACUCGAGCACUCGUGGCUCUCCGGAUCGCUCAUUUCGCUCGCCGUUCUCGCGCUGGCGUUUCUCCGUUUCGCUCGCACCCGCCUGUGGAGCAGUCGCGUAUAUUUGGAGGCGUUGGGGCGAACGCUCACGACAGUUGUGCUU
Drosophila melanogaster (fruit fly) is the source of this 1085-nucleotide non-coding RNA. The record is from Ensembl. NCBI's taxonomy places the organism in Eukaryota, Metazoa, Arthropoda, Insecta, Diptera, Drosophilidae.